UACGUAGGGUGCGAGCGUUAAUCGGAAUUACUGGGCGUAAAGCGUGCGCAGGCGGUGUGUCACGUCGGCCGUGAAAACCUGCAGCUUAACUGUGGGCGUGCGGUCGAUACGGGCAUCACUGGAGUUCGGCAGGGGAGACUGGAAUUCCUGGUGUAGCGGUGAAAUGCGCAGAUAUCAGGAGGAACACCGGUGGCGAAGGCGGGUCUCUGGGCCGAUACUGACGCUGAGGAGCGAAAGCGUGGGGAGCAAACAGG
RNAcentral lists this ribosomal RNA (254 nucleotides) under uncultured bacterium. Its description in RNAcentral is "partial 16S ribosomal RNA". It matches the Rfam family "Bacterial small subunit ribosomal RNA", at positions 524 to 776 of the family's 1533-position model. The record is from RNAcentral.